RNAcentral lists this long non-coding RNA (1105 nucleotides) under Homo sapiens (human). RNAcentral describes it as "long non-coding RNA NONHSAT186010.1". The record is from RNAcentral. Lineage: Eukaryota; Metazoa; Chordata; Mammalia; Primates; Hominidae.
GCCAGUUCCUGUGCCUAAGAAGGAACCUGCUGCUCCCCCAAAAGUCCCAGAGGUGCCAAAGAAACCUGUCCCUGAAGAAAAGAUUCCCGUUCCUGUUGCAAAGAAAAAGGAAGCUCCCCCAGCUAAAGUUCCUGAAGUACAGAAGGGAGUUGUGACAGAAGAAAAAAUAACCAUUGUAACUCAAAGAGAGGAAUCUCCACCACCAGCAGUGCCAGAAAUACCAAAGAAGAAAGUUCCUGAAGAAAGGAAACCUGUUCCUCGGAAGGAGGAAGAAGUUCCACCACCACCAAAAGUGCCAGCUCUGCCUAAGAAACCCGUCCCAGAGGAGAAAGUUGCAGUGCCAGUUCCUGUCGCUAAGAAAGCUCCUCCUCCCCGAGCUGAAGUCUCUAAGAAAACUGUUGUAGAAGAAAAGAGAUUUGUUGCUGAAGAAAAACUAUCCUUCGCAGUUCCUCAAAGAGUGGAAGUCACGCGGCACGAAGUAUCUGCAGAGGAGGAAUGGAGUUACUCAGAAGAGGAGGAAGGUGUGUCCAUUUCAGUUUAUAGAGAAGAAGAAAGAGAGGAGGAGGAAGAAGCAGAGGUUACAGAAUAUGAAGUGAUGGAAGAGCCUGAGGAAUAUGUUGUGGAAGAAAAGCUGCACAUUAUUUCUAAGAGAGUGGAAGCUGAGCCAGCUGAAGUGACAGAGAGGCAGGAGAAGAAAAUUGUACUGAAACCAAAAAUUCCUGCUAAAAUAGAGGAGCCUCCACCGGCUAAAGUUCCUGAAGCACCUAAGAAAAUUGUGCCAGAAAAGAAAGUUCCUGCUCCAGUUCCUAAAAAGGAAAAGGUGCCCCCACCUAAAGUGCCAGAAGAGCCAAAGAAACCAGUUCCAGAAAAAAAGGUUCCUCCAAAAGUCAUUAAGAUGGAAGAACCUCUCCCAGCCAAAGUGCCAGAGGAACCGAAGAGAGCUGUCCCAGAAGAAAAAGUUCUGAAACUCAAACCUAAAAGAGAGGAGGAACCACCAGCUAAAGUGACUGAAUUCAGAAAAAGAGUGGUUAAAGAAGAAAAAGUAUCAAUUGAAGCUCCAAAAAGAGAACCUCAACCCAUCAAAGAAGUAACUAUAAUGGAAGAG